GAUGAAGAACGUAGCGAAAUGCGAUAAGUAAUGUGAAUUGCAGAAUUCAGUGAAUCAUCGAAUCUUUGAACGCACAUUGCGCCCGCCAGUAUUCUGGCGGGCAUGCCUGUUCGAGCGUCAUUACAACCCUCAGGCCCCCGGGCCUGGCGUUGGGGAUCGGCAGAAGCCCCCUGUGGGCACACGCCGUCCCUCAAAUACAGUGGCGGUCCCGCCGCAGCUUCCAUUGCGUAGUAGCUAACACCUCGCAACUGGAGAGCGGCGCGGCCAUGCCGUAAAACACCCAACUUCUGAAUGUUGACCUCGAAUCAGGUAGGAAUACCCGCUGAACUUAAGCAUAUCAAUAACGGAGGA
This 351-nucleotide unclassified non-coding RNA is filed under the name soil metagenome. RNAcentral's name for it is "partial contains 5.8S ribosomal RNA, internal transcribed spacer 2, and large subunit ribosomal RNA". The stretch from base 1 to 120 matches the Rfam family "5.8S ribosomal RNA", at positions 35 to 154 of the family's 154-position model. The record is from RNAcentral.